GGAUUAGAUACCCUGGUAGUCCUAGCUGUAAACGAUGUUCACUAGAUGUGGGAGGUAUCGACCCCUUCCGCGUCGACGCUAACGCAUUAAGUGAACCGCCUGGGGAGUACGGCCGCAAGGUUGAAACUCAAAGGAAUUGACGGGGGCCCGCACAAGCGGUGGAGUAUGUGGUUUAAUUCGACGCAACGCGAAGAACCUUACCUGGGCUUGAACUGUCGGUGGUAAGACUCCGAAAGGAGAAUGACCCGCAAGGGAGCCGAUAGAGGUGCUGCAUGGCUGUCGUCAGCUCGUGCCG
RNAcentral lists this ribosomal RNA (295 nucleotides) under uncultured bacterium. RNAcentral's name for it is "partial 16S ribosomal RNA". It matches the Rfam family "Bacterial small subunit ribosomal RNA", at positions 775 to 1067 of the family's 1533-position model. The record is from RNAcentral.